GAAGUCUGCAGACAAAAUGGCUCAUCAAGCUGCUCUGGUCACUUCACCGAACUAGGCCUACACACCAGCAGGAAAAGGACCAGGGCCUGCUCCCAGCCUCAAGGAUGGGAUAAUCCAGCCAGGCAGCACCGGGCUGCUCCAGUCCCACCCUCCGGACUUGCUAAGCUCCUGCGGCAUCCGCACUCCGUCCCCCGGGAUCUGCGGACCGUCCCCUGGGCAGCGGGCAGUGCACCACAGCGCGGUGGGGCGGGCGGGCGGGCCAGGGAAGGUGCCCGGGGCUGGAGCCCCGCUGGCGGGAAAGCCGGGGAGGGGGGGGCACAGCCGGGCGGGACCCCUCUGUCCCCGGCGCCCGCACAGGGGGAGGCAGCCCAGGGAGGGGCUCUGCACCCCGGCACCUUCUCCAGCCGCCACUCGUCCGGCUCCCGCCUCUCGGCCGCCAGCGCCUCGCAGCGGCUCAGCAGCCGCAGCAGGUUCAGCUCCAGGCGAGUAGCCGCCAUCGUUCCGACCCGGAACCGGAACCCGGCCCGCGAACAGUCCACUUCCGGGUCAGCGGCGGCUGCCAAUGUAAACAGCAACGGCUGCCUCCACGUCGCAGGGGCGGGGCUGCCGCCCGCGCGGACACGUCACCGGUGGGGAAGCAAAACAGCCCGGGGGGGGCGCGGCCGGGCUCCCCCAGCGCAGCCGCCGACACGAUCCACGGGUGUCCUGCUCCGCGCGUGGGGCUGCCGCGGCGCCUGCGCAGAGCCAGCCCGGGCCCGCGCCCCGCCAGGCUGGUCCCUGGGCCGGGGCCAUAACCCGCGCAGGGCUGGUCACUGGGCCGGGGCCGCAGCCCGCUGCGGCCUUGGGGGGACGUGGGCGCAGUCCCUGGGUGAAGCCGCGAUCUCCGCGGGCGCGGCCGAGCCGCCCAGUCUUGGUAACGCCCGAGCAAUUCCAGCCCGUCGGAGCUGCCAGGCUCACGCCGGCCGCAUCAGGCGGCUGGUCCCGGUCCUGGUACGUGCAGCCUGGAGGUGA
RNAcentral lists this long non-coding RNA (1011 nucleotides) under Terrapene triunguis (Three-toed box turtle). RNAcentral describes it as "Terrapene carolina triunguis (Three-toed box turtle) lncRNA (ENSTMTG00000011079.1)". The record is from RNAcentral. Lineage: Eukaryota; Metazoa; Chordata; Testudines; Emydidae.